UAGAGUUUGAUCCUGGCUCAGAACGAACGCUGGCGGCGUGCUUAACACAUGCAAGUCGAACGCGAAAGGGACUUCGGUUCCGAGUAGAGUGGCGCACGGGUGAGUAACGCGUAGAUAACCUGUCCUUGUGUCUGGAAUAAUACGUCGAAAGGUGUACUAAUACCGGAUACUCUUGCUUUAUAUAAGUUUUGCAAGCAAAGGUGGCCUCUGACAUAAGCUACUGCAUAAGGAGGGGUCUGCGUACCAUUAGCUAGUAGGUGGGGUAAAGGCCUACCUAGGCUACGAUGGUUAGCGGGUCUGAGAGGAUGAUCCGCCACACUGGCACUGGAACACGGGCCAGACUCCUACGGGAGGCAGCAGUGAGGAAUAUUGCGCAAUGGGGGCAACCCUGACGCAGCGACGCCGCGUGAGUGAGGAAGGCCUUCGGGUCGUAAAGCUCUGUCAAAGGGAAAGAAGUGCAUAGUGGUUAAUACCUGCUAUGUUUGACGGUACCCUUAAAGGAAGCACCGGCUAACUCCGUGCCAGCAGCCGCGGUAAUACGGAGGGUGCAAGCGUUGUUCGGAAUUACUGGGCGUAAAGGGCGCGUAGGCGGUUUGAUAAGUCAGAUGUGAAAGCCCACGGCUUAACCGUGGAAGUGCAUUUGAAACUGUCAGACUUGAGUACCAGAGGGGAAAGUGGAAUUCCCGGUGUAGAGGUGAAAUUCGUAGAUAUCGGGAGGAAUACCGGUGGCGAAAGCGACUUUCUGGCUGGAUACUGACGCUGAGGCGCGAAAGCGUGGGGGAGCAAACAGGAUUAGAUACCCUGGUAGUCCACGCUGUAAACGAUGUCAACUAGAUGGUGGGGGGGUGUUGACCCCUUCUGUGUCGCA
This 868-nucleotide ribosomal RNA is filed under the name uncultured bacterium. Its description in RNAcentral is "bacterial SSU rRNA". It matches the Rfam family "Bacterial small subunit ribosomal RNA", at positions 1 to 850 of the family's 1533-position model. The record is from RNAcentral.